UACGUAGGUGGCAAGCGUUGUCCGGAAUUAUUGGGCGUAAAGCGCGCGCAGGCGGUCCUUUAAGUCUGAUGUGAAAGCCCACGGCUCAACCGUGGAGGGUCAUUGGAAACUGGGGGACUUGAGUGCAGAAGAGGAGAGUGGAAUUCCACGUGUAGCGGUGAAAUGCGUAGAGAUGUGGAGGAACACCAGUGGCGAAGGCGGGUCUCUGGGCCGAAAUUGACGCUGAGGAGCGAAAGCGUGGGGAGCAAACAGG
Molecule: ribosomal RNA, 253 nt
Filed under: uncultured bacterium
Lineage: Bacteria
Description: partial 16S ribosomal RNA
Rfam family: Bacterial small subunit ribosomal RNA
Source: RNAcentral